This 410-nucleotide RNase P RNA is filed under the name Pseudomonadota bacterium. RNAcentral's name for it is "Proteobacteria bacterium (sediment metagenome) RNase P RNA component class A". It matches the Rfam family "Bacterial RNase P class A". Rfam says of the family: Ribonuclease P (RNase P) is a ubiquitous endoribonuclease, found in archaea, bacteria and eukarya as well as chloroplasts and mitochondria. Its best characterised activity is the generation of mature 5'-ends of tRNAs by cleaving the 5'-leader elements of precursor-tRNAs. Lineage: Bacteria; Pseudomonadati; Pseudomonadota. The record is from RNAcentral.
GGAGUCGGCCGGAUGACCGCCGGCGCUCGUCGCGGGUGCGGGAGGAAAGUCCGAACACCAUAGAGCGGGAUGCUUCGUAACGCGAAGUCCUGGCGACAGGCAGGCUAGUGCCACAGAAAAUAAACCGCCCUGGCUAGUUAGGGGUAAGGGUGAAACGGUGAGGUAAGAGCUCACCAGUGCCGGUGGUGACAUCGGUAGCUAGGUAAACCCCAUCCGGUGCAAGGCCAAAUAGGUUUCGUUUUUCCCUGCGGGGAAUGGAGGCGGCUCGUCUCCGGAAAAAGGCUGGCGACAGUUUUUUUCGGCGAAACGGGUAGGCUGCUGGAGGCUGCGGGCGAUCGCAGUCCUAGAUGAAUGGUCAUCACUUCCGUUUUACGGAGGGACAGAAUUCGGCUUACAGGCCGGCUCCGGUC